Lactuca sativa (garden lettuce) is the source of this 103-nucleotide small nuclear RNA. NCBI's taxonomy places the organism in Eukaryota, Viridiplantae, Streptophyta, Magnoliopsida, Asterales, Asteraceae. The record is from RefSeq and is a predicted model, not a curated record.
UUCCCUUUAGGGGCAUCUAAUUAAAUUGGAACGAUACAUAGAAGAUUAGCAUGACCCUUGGGCAAGGAUGAUACACACAAAACGAUAGUCCAAAAAAAUACAU